AUUAAAGUGUCUGAAUAAAGUAGUAAACUGUAAAUUUACUUAAGAAAUAAUUUUUCCUUUAAUA
RNAcentral lists this transfer RNA (64 nucleotides) under Tituria sagittata. RNAcentral describes it as "tRNA-Tyr". Lineage: Eukaryota; Metazoa; Arthropoda; Insecta; Hemiptera; Cicadellidae. The record is from RNAcentral.